This 440-nucleotide ribosomal RNA is filed under the name uncultured bacterium. Its description in RNAcentral is "partial 16S ribosomal RNA". It matches the Rfam family "Bacterial small subunit ribosomal RNA", at positions 338 to 795 of the family's 1533-position model. The record is from RNAcentral.
CCUACGGGAGGCAGCAGUAGGGAAUAUUGCUCAAUGGGGGAAACCCUGAAGCAGCAACGCCGCGUGGAGGAUGAAGGUUUUCGGAUUGUAAACUCCUUUUGUUAGAGAAGAUAAUGACGGUAUCUAACGAAUAAGCACCGGCUAACUCCGUGCCAGCAGCCGCGGUAAUACGGAGGGUGCAAGCGUUACUCGGAAUCACUGGGCGUAAAGAGCGCGUAGGCGGGAUAGCAAGUCAGAUGUGAAAUCCUAUGGCUUAACCAUAGAACUGCAUUUGAAACUGUUAUUCUAGAGUAUGUGAGAGGUAGGUGGAAUUCUUGGUGUAGGGGUAAAAUGCGUAGAGAUCAAGAGGAAUACUCAUUGCGAAGGCGACCUGCUAGAACAUAACUGACGCUGAUGCGCGAAAGCGUGGGGAGCAAACAGGAUUAGAUACCCCAGUAGUC